GUGAAUCAUCGAAUCUUUGAACGCAAAUUGCACUCUCUGGUAUUCCGGAGAGUAUGCCUGUUUGAGGGUCAGUAUAAAUAAAAAUCGGUGUGGUUGCUGCCAUUCGUGGUGACGCGCCGGAUUUGGGUCGUCUUGCCUUCGGUUAAGUGACCUAAAAUUUUACCUGUUUUUUUUCGUACGAAACUAAAUGAUUUUAUAUACGUUUGCGAUAU
Molecule: unclassified non-coding RNA, 212 nt
Filed under: Glomus sp.
Lineage: Eukaryota; Fungi; Glomeromycota; Glomeromycetes; Glomerales; Glomeraceae
Description: partial contains 5.8S ribosomal RNA and internal transcribed spacer 2
Rfam family: 5.8S ribosomal RNA (bases 1-71)
Source: RNAcentral